CUAAUUUCCCUCUGUUCAAAAGGAGAAUUUUGCUAUUUAAAUUAAAUUCCUUUAAAUAGAAAUUAAAGUAAAGAGGGAAAGAACCCUGCCCUCUGAAGGCUUAUUCUCCAUUGUCAUAGCUUGCUCCAUUGGUGUUGCAGUGCAAGUGGUACUCCACACAGUCUCUUCUCUGCACAGGCAGCUUCUUCUUUUCCUCAGAAGAUAGUUUAUUUUCUACCCAAUGCUAAAUCUCGUGUUUGUCUUACUUCUUUGAAUGAGCACAAGCACUGUGGUUUUGUUCUUCUCAUUUCCCAGUGCCUUUUUGCUGAUCUUCUCUGCAUGUAUCUGCAAGGUCAGGAAAACAAAUCAGUAUGGAAAAGGACCUCCUGUCCCUUUUAACCUAACCUGUAGGAGGGAGAGAAGGGAAAUUGCCACUUACGUGAAAGGGAGCUUUAAAUAUACUUGAAAAAAGCACUGUGGGAGUGAGGGUUUGGAAGGACAGGUGUUGACAAGACCAUUCUCUGCAAUUCACAGGGUGCCUUUAUGAACUCACAGUCUCCUCCUCCACAGCAGUGUAUACAUACAGAUGCAUAGAGCUGAAACGUGUCCCAGGAAAGCGGCACUGACAGGGAAUGGCCCUCUCAUUUCAGCAUCACUGACCAUGAGGGUCAGGCACAGGGAGCUGGACUAAGACUCACCACAUAGUUUGAGGGCUACCAAAUGCUGACCUCUACCUUCUGCUGCCUGGGUUUUCUUCAGUACUCUCUGGUUAUUCCUCUCUUUUUUUCCAUUCCUCAAGCAUCAAGGUCAGAAAACAGAGAAAUGCAGAGAGCAAAGUGAGCCCUCCUUUUAAAGCAUGGAAUUGGAGUCUCAGAGUGCAGCCUGGAUAAACAACAACCUUUUGCACAGGGGAAAACAACAGUGCCUGUGUGUCUCAGAAAGCUCAGCAUUUGUGCUGCUGAAUGGAGGAUGGUGGUGCUCCCUCUGCACGCUUCUAGUGUCAGUCACUAGAGCAGAGAGACAAGAAGGAGGGGACAGAAACAGCGACAUAAAUGUAUUUUACCUCUUCCUGGUGUCAUCUGUUGAACUACUUAAACUGCUUUAAAAAUUAAAAGCUUUUUAAGAAUACCUUUGCAGCAAAAGCCUUUUGCAAAAAAAAAAAAAAAAAAAAACAAACCAAAAAACAAAAACAAGCAGCUGCUAGAAAAAGAACAUUCUUUUACAGAUGAUAAAAACAGAAGCCCACAUGGUAGAUGGUUUUCAGUCUUCCCUUUCCUCCCUCGUUUGUGUCCUGCACCAAGCCAAGCCACUCUGGGCCCAUUCUGGCUUCAACUGACUGCACAAUUCCAAAGGCAGAGUCAGG
RNAcentral lists this long non-coding RNA (1342 nucleotides) under Taeniopygia guttata (zebra finch). RNAcentral's name for it is "lncRNA (ENSTGUG00000028075.1)". The record is from RNAcentral. Lineage: Eukaryota; Metazoa; Chordata; Aves; Passeriformes; Estrildidae.